RNAcentral lists this unclassified non-coding RNA (220 nucleotides) under Hevea brasiliensis (rubber tree). Lineage: Eukaryota; Viridiplantae; Streptophyta; Magnoliopsida; Malpighiales; Euphorbiaceae. The record is from RNAcentral.
AAUUUAUAUAAAAAAAAAAACUAAUCUUUUUGAGGUUCAUGGCUGCCCUCUCAAUAAUACCUCUCCAAGAAUCGAAAGUAUAAUGAAUCUUACCACUAUACUCAAUUAUAUAAAGUUUUAUGAUCUUAUAUUUGGAUGAGGAAAUUUAAAUUUAAUGAAUAUAUUUUUAUAAAUUAAUUAGAGUUAUAAAUUUAGUUUAGUUAUAUAAAUAUGAAGAAAA